Molecule: long non-coding RNA, 1835 nt
Filed under: Homo sapiens (human)
Lineage: Eukaryota; Metazoa; Chordata; Mammalia; Primates; Hominidae
Description: HSALNT0043487
Source: RNAcentral
AUCGCCACUGUGUCUCAAAAAAAAAACAAAAAAGAAAGAAAAUGAAUCUGCCACGCCAUUGCUUAGACCCUUUAAUGACUCUUGAGUGUUCUUGGGAUGAGGUCCAAAUUUACUAAUAAGGCCUGCAAAGCCCUGUGUAAUUUUGCUCCUAGUUAUGGCUGGCAUCUGCACCACAACUACAGCCACUGCCACCUCCCCCUGCCACACACACAUUUUAAAAGUAACAAUAGUAGUGUUUUCUGUGUUUUGCAUAUGCAGUCUUUUCUCAUCUCCCAGCCUUCUUGAGCUUUUCCUCUGCCUGAGAUACGCUCCCACUCACAUAGACAUUGGGGGCACUAAAUAAAAAUAGCUGUUUAAUUGAAUUGGAAUCGUUCCACUUGGAACCCAAGUUUGGAAAUUUUGCUACUUCUUGUUAAGCUAGGCCUUUUAUUCUUGAAGUUGCUAUUUCUCAUACAAACUCAUUUUAUGCAUUAGACACACAGUCACUAUUGUUAUGGAGAACAUAGUUGUAUCAGAAGAGGUAUAGCUUUGGGUGUGGAUGUGCGUGUGUCAGGGGAAAGAUAUUCUGAUUAUAUGAUGAUUUUCAUAAAAUAUAGUAUGCUGAGUUUCCGAAAAUCCUAAAUGACUUAGAAAUGGUGCUAUAUGUGGUUUGUUUGACCCCUGCAAAUCUCAUGUUGAAAUUUGAUCCCCAUUGCUGGAGGUGUUUUGAGCAUGGAGCGGAUCCCUCAUGAAUGUCUUGGCGUUGUCCUUGCAGUAAUGAGUUCUUGCUCUAUUUUUCCUCCCCUGGAAGCUGAUUGUUUAAAAGAGCCUGGUAUCCUCCCUCCCUUUCUUCUUUGCUUCCUCUCUCUUGCUGUGUGAUCUCUGCACACACCAGCUCCCCUUUGCUUUCUGCCAUGAGUGGUCUGAGGCUCUCACCAGAAGCCAAGCAGAGGCUGGCACCAUGCUUCUAGUACAGCCUGCAGAACUGUAAGCCAAAUAAACUUCUUCUUUGUUUUUUUUUUUUGUUUGUUUUGUUUUUUUUUCAGUAAAUUACCCAGCCUCAGGUAUUCCUUAACAACACAAAUGGGCUAAGACACAGGGUCAUAGGGAUAGCAGGCACCUGAGCCAAGCCAGAACUUAGAUCUCAACUGUUAAUGCAGGAUGAUUUGUAUUGAACCAUGAAUUUUACACUGCCUCUCAAUGUUGGUGUCAGCAUUUAAGGUUAUUUAAAAAAUACAACCUGAAGGUUACAUAAAGUUUCAUUUAAAAAAUAAGACCUUAUAAGUCUACUUUUAUUUCCAGUGGACAGCAACUACUUAAUCGUCUUAAAACUUUCUUCUUACAAUAUUACUUUACAAUAUUACCUGUUGGAUUUAUUAUCUGUGUACAAAUCAGUUAGUUGAAGGGCCAAAGAAUAAAGGCAUUUUGUGAAUUAUGAAUAGCUAUUUUGAAAUGGUCAUGGAGACUAGCUACUCUAGAAAAUUGGGAGAAUAUACUGUAUUAAGUUACUAUCUGGUAUAACUUCAAUUAAUUGUGAAAAUUGUAGCAGAGAUCUAGAUAUAGUUUAUGAACUUCUAAAGAGACAUUAAAGGGAAUUCAAGUACUUGUGUAAAGAUGAACCAAGGUAGAGAUGAUUGUGAAUUGGUGAUCUGCUGUAUGUUACAGUUAUGUAAUUUGACUUGUUUCAAAAUUAUUAAAGUUUUAAGUGUAUGCAUUCUACUGGUCAAUAAGUAAAUAUAUUCAGGCUCUGAAUGUAGACAGAUAAAUAUAUAAAUAUAGAAAGUACAUUUGUUAGAAUACAAACAAGAAUAAAAAUUGAGUACAGAAUGAAAACCUUAUUAAAUUUUAUCACUCCA